UGGAAGUUUUUCAGGGGCAAGAAGCCGCCCUCACACGGCGGAGGCCCCAGGUUCAAAUCCUGGCCCGCCCACCA
RNAcentral lists this transfer RNA (74 nucleotides) under Candidatus Bathyarchaeota archaeon. RNAcentral describes it as "tRNA-Val". The stretch from base 15 to 71 matches the Rfam family "tRNA". From Rfam's summary of the family: Transfer RNA (tRNA) molecules are approximately 80 nucleotides in length. The record is from RNAcentral. Lineage: Archaea; Thermoproteati; Candidatus Bathyarchaeota.